Molecule: ribosomal RNA, 360 nt
Filed under: uncultured Sphingobacterium sp.
Lineage: Bacteria; Pseudomonadati; Bacteroidota; Sphingobacteriia; Sphingobacteriales; Sphingobacteriaceae
Description: bacterial SSU rRNA
Rfam family: Bacterial small subunit ribosomal RNA
Source: RNAcentral
GUGCCAGCAGCGGCGGUAAUACGGAGGAUCCGAGCGUUAUCCGGAAUUAUUGGGUUUAAAGGGUGCGUAGGCGGCCUGUUAAGUCAGAGGUGAAAGACGGUGGCCCAACCAUCGCAGUGCCCUUGAUACUGGCGGGCUUGAAUUCGGAUGAAGUGGGCGGAAUAAGACAAGUAGCGGUGAAAUGCAUAGAUAUGUCUUGGAACACCGAUUGCGAAGGCAGCUCACUAAGGCGAGAUUGACGCUGAUGCACGAAAGCGUGGGAUCGAACAGGAUUAGAUACCUGGUAGUCCACGCCCUAAACGAUGAUGGCUCGGUGUCGGCGAUAGACGGUCGGCGCCCAGCGAAAGCGUUAAGCCAUCC